GCGAACGGACGAGAAGCUUGCUUCUCUGAUGUUAGCGGCGGACGGGUGAGUAACACGUGGAUAACCUACCUAUAAGACUGGGAUAACUUCGGGAAACCGGAGCUAAUACCGGAUAAUAUUUUGAACCGCAUGGUUCAAAAGUAAAAGACGGUCUUGCUGUCACUUAUAGAUGGAUCCGCGCUGCAUUAGCUAGUUGGUAAGGUAACGGCUUACCAAGGCAACGAUGCAUAGCCGACCUGAGAGGGUGAUCGGCCACACUGGAACUGAGACACGGUCCAGACUCCUACGGGAGGCAGCAGUAGGGAAUCUUCCGCAAUGGGCGAAAGCCUGACGGAGCAAUGCCGUGUGAGUGAUGAAGGUCUUCGGAUCGUAAAACUCUGUUAUUAGGGAAGAACAUAUGUGUAAGUAACUGUGCACAUCUUGACGGUACCUAAUCAGAAAGCCACGGCUAACUACGUGCCAGCAGCCGCGGUAAUACGUAGGUGGCAAGCGUUAUCCAGAAUUAUUGGGCGUAAAGCGCGCGUAGGCGGUUUUUUAAGUCUGAUGUGAAAGCCCACGGCUCAACCGUGGAGGGUCAUUGGAAACUGGAAAACUUGAGUGCAGAAGAGGAAAGUGGAAUUCCAUGUGUAGCGGUGAAAUGCGCAGAGAUAUGGAGGAACACCAGUGGCGAAGGCGACUUUCUGGUCUGUAAC
RNAcentral lists this ribosomal RNA (692 nucleotides) under uncultured Staphylococcus sp. RNAcentral describes it as "bacterial SSU rRNA". It matches the Rfam family "Bacterial small subunit ribosomal RNA", at positions 66 to 740 of the family's 1533-position model. Lineage: Bacteria; Bacillati; Bacillota; Bacilli; Caryophanales; Staphylococcaceae. The record is from RNAcentral.